GCCUUAGUAGCGGCGAGUGAAGCGGCAAAAGCUCAAAUUUGAAAUCUGGCACCUUCGGUGUCCGAGUUGUAAUUUGAAGAUUGUAACCUUGGGGUUGGCUCUUGUCUAUGUUUCUUGGAACAGGACGUCACAGAGGGUGAGAAUCCCGUGCGAUGAGAUGCCCAAUCCUAUGUAAGGUGCUUUCGAAGAGUCGAGUUGUUUGGGAAUGCAGCUCUAAGUGGGUGGUAAAUUCCAUCUAAAGCUAAAUAUUGGCGAGAGACCGAUAGCGAACAAGUACAGUGAUGGAAAGAUGAAAAGAACUUUGAAAAGAGAGUGAAAAAGUACGUGAAAUUGUUGAAAGGGAAGGGUUUGAGAUCAGACUCGAUAUUUUGUGAGCCUUGCCUUCGUGGCGGGGUGACCCGCAGCUUAUCGGGCCAGCAUCGGUUUGGGCGGUAGGAUAAUGGCGUAGGAAUGUGACUUUGCUUCGGUGAAGUGUUAUAGCCUGCGUUGAUGCUGCCUGCCUAGACCGAGGACUGCGAUUUUAUCAAGGAUGCUGGCAUAAUGAUCCCAAACCGCCCGUCUUGC
This 564-nucleotide ribosomal RNA is filed under the name Meyerozyma caribbica. RNAcentral's name for it is "partial large subunit ribosomal RNA". It matches the Rfam family "Eukaryotic large subunit ribosomal RNA", at positions 77 to 657 of the family's 3401-position model. Lineage: Eukaryota; Fungi; Ascomycota; Pichiomycetes; Serinales; Debaryomycetaceae. The record is from RNAcentral.